This 256-nucleotide ribosomal RNA is filed under the name uncultured bacterium. Its description in RNAcentral is "partial 16S ribosomal RNA". It matches the Rfam family "Bacterial small subunit ribosomal RNA", at positions 524 to 776 of the family's 1533-position model. The record is from RNAcentral.
UACAGAGGGUGCGAGCGUUGUCCGGAAUCACUGGGCGUAAAGGGCGCGUAGGUGGUGGCUUAAGCGUGCGGUGAAAGCUCGGGGCUCAACUCCGAGUCGGCCGUGCGAACUGGGCUCACUGGAGCAUAGUAGAGGCAGGUGGAAUUCCGGGUGUAGCGGUGGAAUGCGUAGAGAUCCGGAAGAACACCGGUGGCGAAGGCGGCCUGCUGGGCAGUUUUGCUGACACUGAGGCGCGACAGCGUGGGGAGCAAACAGG